AGGACGAACGCUGGCGGCGUGCUUAACACAUGCAAGUGGAGCGACGAACCGGGGCUUGCCCCGGGGCAGAGCCGCGAACGGGUGAGUAACACGUGGGUUACCUGCCUCAAUGACCGGGACAACCCGAGGAAACUCGGGCUAAUACCGGAUGUGCCCGCAAGGGGAAAGGAAGCUUCGGCCUCCGCAUUGAGAUGGGCCCGCGGCCCAUUAGCUUGUUGGUGAGGUAACGGCUCACCAAGGCUUCGAUGGGUAGCUGGUCUGAGAGGACAAUCAGCCACACUGGGACUGAGACACGGCCCAGACUCCUACGGGAGGCAGCAGUGGGGAAUCUUGCGCAAUGCGCGAAAGCGUGACGCAGCAACGCCGCGUGGGGGAAGAAGGCUUUCGGGUUGUAAACCCCUUUCAGUUGGGACGAAGCUUCGUCGGUUAAUAGCCGGCUGGAGUGACGGUACCUUCACAAGAAGCACCGGCUAACUACGCGCCAGCAGCCGCGGU
Molecule: ribosomal RNA, 495 nt
Filed under: uncultured bacterium
Lineage: Bacteria
Description: SSU rRNA
Rfam family: Bacterial small subunit ribosomal RNA
Source: RNAcentral